AAGGAUCAUUACAGUGAAACGUAAGCGGGGGAGGGCUGCUGCGUGUAUGCGCGCCUCUCUUCUGCNACGCAUCCACUUACACCUGUGCACCUGUCGGCGAGUGCCUUUUGGCCGUUUGGGAACAAGGGCCUCGCCGCCCUUUGCAACCGCUCCGAAUACCGAUGCAUGUUUGAAACCCCACGGGGUAAAGUGAAGUACAACUUUCAACAACGGAUCUCUUGGCUUUUGCAUCGAUGAAGAACGCCGCGAAAGUGCGAAACGUAAUGUGAAUUGCAGAAUUCAGUGAAUCAUCGAAUCUUUGAACGCAUCUUGCGCUCCUUGGUAUUCCGAGGAGCAUGCCUGUUUGAGUGUCGUGUAAAACCCUCGAAGCCCUCCCUUUUGACCGAGGGAAGGCUUCGGACUUGGANGUUUGNGGCUGGUGGCCGCUCGUCUCGAAAUGCAUUAGCUUGGUCCCCUCGGACGACGACGGUGUGAUAAUAGACGCUAUGUGACGCCGUCAAAGUCUAACGGAGGGGACGGCCGACAGCCGUCCUUUGCGGACAAUGUUUGAACGUGUGACCUCAAAUCAGGUAGGACUACCCGCUGAACUUAA
Molecule: ribosomal RNA, 592 nt
Filed under: Ramaria sp. 7 RGO-2016
Lineage: Eukaryota; Fungi; Basidiomycota; Agaricomycetes; Gomphales; Gomphaceae
Description: eukaryotic LSU rRNA
Rfam family: 5.8S ribosomal RNA (bases 199-353)
Source: RNAcentral